Molecule: long non-coding RNA, 252 nt
Filed under: Elaeis guineensis (African oil palm)
Lineage: Eukaryota; Viridiplantae; Streptophyta; Magnoliopsida; Arecales; Arecaceae
Description: long non-coding RNA (EGUI_LNC001660)
Source: RNAcentral
AUUAAAAGCAUCUUUCAUUCAAAAAAGAAACCUUAUAGAAACUAUCCAAUGAGUCUAAUCUGCGUCCCAUCAUUGCGAAAAAAAACAAUCUUUCCGGGGAGGGCAGCAUGCUUUGGAUGUGGAGCUAUUAUCGUCCAGCCCUCUAACCUAAUGCGGUCGGACUACAGGAACCGUAGCAUGGGGGACAUCUUAAUCCUUUAGCUGCUGCAAGGCUGGCUAAUUAUAUGCAGCAAGAGCAAGGGAAUUCCCCUG